RNAcentral lists this ribosomal RNA (465 nucleotides) under uncultured bacterium. RNAcentral describes it as "partial 16S ribosomal RNA". It matches the Rfam family "Bacterial small subunit ribosomal RNA", at positions 28 to 507 of the family's 1533-position model. The record is from RNAcentral.
GACGAACGCUGGCGGCGUGCUUAACACAUGCAAGUCGAACGAAAAGGCCCGUUUGUGGGUCCUCGAGUGGCGGACGCGUGCGUAAGACGUGAGUGACCUUCCCUUAACUAUGGGAUAACUUCAGGUAACUGGGGCCAAUACCGGUUAGGAAUCCUAGCUGCAUGGUGGUGGUUGGAUAGUUUCGGCGGUUUUUGCUGGGUUUGCGGCUUAUCAGCUUGUUGGUGGGGUUGUGGCUUACCGAGGCUUCGUAGGGUAGCAAGACUGAGUAGGCGACCGGCCACACUGGGACUGAGGGACGGCCCAGACUGCGACGGGAGGCAGCAGGGGGGAAUAUUGCACGAUGGGCGGCGGGCGGAUGAAGCAAGGCCUCGGGCGGGAAGACGGCCUUAGGGUUGAAGAACGCUUGCAGCAGGGGCGAAGCUUGUGGUGACGGUACCUGCAGAAGAAGCACCGGCUAACUACGUG